AUUGAACGCUGGCGGCAGGCCUAACACAUGCAAGUCGAACGGUAGCACAGAGAGCUUGCUCUCGGGUGACGAGUGGCGGACGGGUGAGUAACGUCUGGGAAACUGCCCGAUGGAGGGGGAUAACUACUGGAAACGGUAGCUAAUACCGCAUAACGUCGCAAGACCAAAGUGGGGGACCUUCGGGCCCCACACCAUCGGAUGUGCCCAGAUGGGAUUAGCUAGUAGGUGGGGUAAUGGCUCACCUAGGCGACGAGCCCUAGCUGGUCUGAGGGGAUGACCAGCCACACGGGAACUGAGACACGGUCCAGACUCCUACGGGAGGCAGCAGUGGGGAAUAUUGCACAAUGGGCGCAAGCCGGAUGCAGCCAUGCCGCGUGUAUGAAGAAGGCCUUCGGGUUGUAAAGUACUUUCAGCGGGGAGGAAGGCGGUGAAGUUAAUAGCUUCACCGAUUGACGUUACCCGCAGAAGAAGCACCGGCUAACUCCGUGCCAGCCGCCGCAGUAA
RNAcentral lists this ribosomal RNA (504 nucleotides) under uncultured bacterium. RNAcentral's name for it is "partial 16S ribosomal RNA". It matches the Rfam family "Bacterial small subunit ribosomal RNA", at positions 29 to 523 of the family's 1533-position model. The record is from RNAcentral.